UGCUCCAUGACUUUAAAUAGCCGCAGAUCCUCUGUGCUNAGGUAGNAUAAUAACUUGCCUUUCAAUUGAAGGAUAGAAUGAAAGGACUCAUGACUUUUUCCUUCUCUCAGUUUAUUUUAUAUAAAAUUCACCUAUAAGNNAAAAGACUUAUCUAUCAUGGNAGGACGACAAGACCCUAUAGAACUUCACUUUAAGUUAAACUGGGGAGGUAAUUAACUAAAACUUAGUAAAACACCAUCUAAUAUAUAGACCUACUACUAUUAACNAUUAAAACAAGUUACCUUAGGGAUAACAGUGUAAUUUCUUUCCAUAUAUAUAUUAAAAAGAAGCUUUCCACCUCGAUGUUGAAUUAAUAUAACUUACUAAUUAAACAUUAAUCAAGUAGGUCUGUUCGACCUUUAAAAUAUUACAUGAUUUGAGUUCAGACCGGUGCAAACCAGGUCAGAUUCUAUCCUCCUCUAUUUUAUUACAGUACGAAAGGGCCUAAUAAUAGAUAA
Molecule: ribosomal RNA, 497 nt
Filed under: Loxosceles foutadjalloni
Lineage: Eukaryota; Metazoa; Arthropoda; Arachnida; Araneae; Sicariidae
Description: partial 16S ribosomal RNA
Rfam family: Bacterial large subunit ribosomal RNA
Source: RNAcentral